UAUUGGUCAAUAGCCUAACGGCUGAACCAGCAACUUGGAGGAAUGUAUAGCGAAAGCUAGUUGCAUUAAAUUCGAUUAAUUCGAAGUUAAUGCAUCAUCGACUAUGUCGAAUAAAGUUCUAGGUAGAGUUAUGAUAAUGACAUUUUCUAUCUAUGUGUCUUGACCAAAUCACGUGCCAGCAGUCGCGGUAAUACGUGGAAGACUAGUGUUAUUCAUCUUUAAUAGGUUUAAAGGGUACUUAGACGGUAAAUUUAGCCCAAAUAAAAACAAAGGGUACUAAUUAUACUAGAGUUAUUAUAGAGGAGGGUGUGUACUAGUGGUGUAGAGAUGAAAUUCUGUCAUACCAUUAUGACAGGCAACGGCGAAAGCAACCUUUAGAUAAAAACUGACGUUAAAGGACGAAGGCUUUGUGUCACCAACAGGAUUAGAUACCCAAGCAGUCUUAGCAGACAAUUAUGAAUGCCAUAGAUAAGAAAGGAUGUAUUUUUGUCUAUAAAUGAAAGUGUAAGCAUUCCACCUCAAGAGUAAUGUGGCAACGCAGAAACUGAAAUCAUUAGACCGUUUCUGAAACCAGUAGUGAAGUAUGUUGUUUAAUUAGAUGGUCCGCAAAAAACCUUACCACAAUUUGUAUAUUAUUAGCUUAAUACAAGAGUUGCACGGCUGUCUUCAGUUAAUGUCGUGAGAUUUUGGUUAGUUCCAUUAAAUUAACGUAAACCCUUACUUUAUUUAUAUUAUAAAGUAGUUCACCGCUAUAUUGGAUAUGAUAAGA
RNAcentral lists this ribosomal RNA (769 nucleotides) under Circinaria caesiocinerea. RNAcentral describes it as "mitochondrial SSU rRNA". It matches the Rfam family "Bacterial small subunit ribosomal RNA", at positions 362 to 1173 of the family's 1533-position model. Lineage: Eukaryota; Fungi; Ascomycota; Lecanoromycetes; Pertusariales; Megasporaceae. The record is from RNAcentral.